AACUGUGGGGUACUAUGCAAUGGAAAAGAGCCAUAAAUGAUGGUCGUGGCUGGAGAAGCCGGCUGUCUUUUGAUUAAGCCUGGAAGACGCCUAGUAAGAAAACCUGGCAUUUAAGAAAUGGGUUUUGGUCUGGAGGGGCGUGGGGGCAGUCUGGACCUCGCAGAGAGGAGUUUGCACAGACGUAGCUGCAAUUAAAUGUCAUCAUAAUGCCCUCUCAGUUUUUAAUGUCCACAUCGCUGCCCUUUUAAUAAUGCUAAGAGCUUCGCUGACUCCAGGGAAAUAAAGCUCCAUAUAAGGAAGAAGAAACUCAAAUCUCAAAAUAGACCUCAAACAAUGACCAAAAACCCAACAUCUUCAAGAAAGGUCUCCAGAGAAUAGUUUUAACCACAGGUUUAAGAAGUUUAUAGAGGCUUCUGGACUUUUAGGAGAUUUUGUAAGCAAUCUUCUCAUUGGAAGCGGCCAUUCGAGCAUACCCUGUUCUGGACGCAACAUCAAUCAAAUAUCUGUAUUAAUCCUCUUUGACUGUAAUGUCCAGUCAGAUGGAUACAGUUACAAAGUAAAUUCAACCAGAGCUACUAAGUCAACUGAAGCAAAUGUGACCCAUUCGGUGAAAACCUGACCCAACGUUUUUCUACAUAAAAGACAUUCUUUGAAAAUAUAAUAUAAAUGUGUAAGGUCAUGUCAAAGAUCAAAAACAUUGUAAAAUCAGACUUUAACGUGGAUUUCACAGACAGGGUCACAAAUAUGCACAAUUAAAAUGUGUAUGUUUUGCAAUCAUUAAUUCAGAAGCUGUAUUAAGAAAGACGCUGAUGUAAUUCCACUACAGUUUAAUGUAAUAUCAAGGUUGUUUUUUUAAUCGAUAAGGGGGAGUGACUGUGCAUGUGCUGGAAGAGUUAUUCCAUUAGAGACAAUGUUUAGCAUGCUAUUCAUAUCUGAGGAUACAUCUGUGACCGAAUAAAAGAUGGGAGAAAUAAUGAGAGCGAUCAGAGCCCUCCUACGCAUCUCGUUCCCCUCCUCAUAUACUCCACCCCUUCAUUUGUCCUACCAUAAACUUCUGAACUCACAUCCCUGACAGAUCCUUCUCUUCCCAACUGUAAAAUCAAAGCAGCAGGAUUGAACCUCAGUACUUUGGCUGAAGUUUCAGCUCUUUCCACGGCUAAAGUGGAGACAUCACGGCGCAAUGUAACCUGCUCGUCCUCCUAUCCUCCAAAAUCCAGGACCCAACGACUGCACAACCACAUAUCAACCUACACCCGAAUUCUCCAAGCCAGUCAAGUCUUCACCUGCUCAGUAUGGAUCUGACCACUAACCGAGGACUAAACCUGCUGCUCAACUUUCUGCUCAUCGUUGUGGCUCUACUGCUCAUGCUCAUUCUGGUCAAGCUCAUGUGACCCAGUCAUGUGAUCGCCAAAAUAAUCAGGAUUUAGAAUAACGGUGCAUUCACACGGGGCGAAAGCGUUAACGUCUGAAACAUGGCCAACAGCCAAUCACAGUGCUCCGGUCUUGCAUAAACGUAACUGGCUGGCUCGCACUAGGUUAUUUGCAUAAGGCGAUCUGAUUGACUGAUGCACGCUUUGGCGCUUGAAAAGUUGAGAAGUGUUCAUCUUCUGGUGCGUUGACGGAUCCACAAUUCAGUUCAGCAACGCAUUACGUCACCCAUUAAAAAUAAAUAAUGAGAAGCGUUAACGCUUACGCCCCGUGUGAAUGUACCGUAAGGGCAGCUGAGGUGUUUUAUAUUAUCUUUCUUAAACCAAUUGAAAUAUGCUGUAAACAAUAUGAUCCAUUGGGCAAUCUCUCUCUGUCCACCCUCCCUCUCUCCCCAAAGCCCGUCCACUAAUAAGGGUGAUGCAAAAUGAUUGACAGGCAGAGAGUGUUUCUAUCUAUGUAGUUUCUGGCUAGAACAUGUUUCGAGACAGGUGUGAUUUGUCAGGACACCUAUUUCAUUGAUGUCUGUCAGGUUAUAUUAUAAAAAAGAUUGCUUACAGCACUUUACACAUGCUCAGCAUUUUCUAGUAGCUUACUGAAGUGCUACAAUAAAUAAUAAUAAAGAAGCAAAAGCCGAUAAGCUCAUCUAUAUAAAAUAUAUUGCAGUUGAACCGAGACCGACAGCAUAUUACUGCUUCCUAUAUCAUUGCACCCUCUAGUGGCCACUGACUGAUACUGAUAUAAAAACAACAUAAGCAGGAUUAAGCAAAAAUAUAAAUAUAAAAAAAAACUUGGGAAUAAAAACCUAGUAGACAUUUUUGCUCAAAUCACCUAACACACCAAAUUAAACGUUUAAACUAACCCACAUAAAAACACUACAGCAUAAACAAUGACAUUUACUAUAGUAAACAAAAUUUGGUUACACCUUAUUUUUGCAGUGUCCUUGUUAAAGUGUAAUAAUGAUUAAGAACAUGCCCUUACUAUAGUGUUAAGGUUCGAUUUAGGGUAAGUUGCAUUAAAUUGUGCACAAGUCACAUAAUAUUAAAUACAAUUGCUAGAAGCUAUAGUGUUUUGAACUUUAAUAUAGGAAAUAAUAUAGUAUACUAUAGUAAUUAAACUAUAUUAUAUUAUACUACAGUUUACCAUAGUUAAUACAAUAAUAUACUAUACAGGGUUCCCACACCUUCAAAUUCAAGGACCUUUCAAGGACUUUCCAGGUCCAAUACCCUCAAAUUCAAGGACUAAAUGUGGGGACACAUUUCAAGUGAGAGCAAGGUUACAUCGUGUUACUUUUUAAGAUACAUUGUUACUGUUCCUUUCGAGGGAACUCGCGGUGACACUUUGGGGACGCCUCCAAGGAUAAGUGCGUCUGAAUGUGUAUAUCAAAUUCAACCAAUGGUGAGGCUUAACGACAAAGACAGGGUGACGCGGGAGCCAAGAAGUAUAUCGCUAUCUGAAAUAUGUCCAAAGACAGCGUUACAGGGAUGCAGGAAGUAUGGCAAGGAAGACACAGCGUCUCGUUCCCUUCUCAGGGAACAACAGUUACAUACGUAACCCGAGACGUUUUCAUGUGUCAAACACAACUAUGCAAAAAAGCAUUUUGGUAUGAAUCAACAUUCACAUACAGAAGAUAAAAGCAUUUAAAGCGAACAGUUUAGCACGUGUGCCUAAAAGGCUUGAAAUUUUAUAUUAUCCUACAUUACAUACACAGGGAAAAAAAGGAUUUUUUUCCAGAAAACUUCUUGCAUAAAAUAGAUUCAAGCACUUUCAAUCAUCUGUAUCUAUGUAUGUAUAUUUUCAAAAACUUCCCAGGGCCUUGAAUUUUUUUACCCCAGAUUCAAAAACUUUCAAGAAUUUCAAGGACCCGUGGGAACCCUGACUAUGGUAUUUUUCAUCUGCCAUCUAUUCAGUGUUAAUUUUGCGUGAUAAAACGUGUUGAUAUGCGCUCCUUAUAAAUAAUAAACAGAGGAAUUGUAUUAAUAGUUUAAAAAAAAACACUGGUUUGGCUAUAAAUAUCUAUAUUAUAAUAGCCAUAGUUGUAAUCAUCAUAUAUUAUUCACAAUCACAAAGUGUAGUAAAUAUACAAAGACUGAGACUG
Misgurnus anguillicaudatus (oriental weatherfish) is the source of this 3523-nucleotide non-coding RNA. NCBI's taxonomy places the organism in Eukaryota, Metazoa, Chordata, Actinopteri, Cypriniformes, Cobitidae. The record is from RefSeq and is a predicted model, not a curated record.